UACGUAGGGUGCAAGCGUUGUCCGGAAUUAUUGGGCGUAAAGAGCUCGUAGGCGGUCUGUCGCGUCGGCUGUGAAAACCCGAGGCUCAACCUCGGGCCUGCAGCCGAUACGGGCAAGCUAGAAUUCGGUAGGGGAGACUGGAAUUCCUGGUGUAGCGGUGAAAUGCGCAGAUAUCAGGAGGAACACCGGUGGCGAAGGCGGGUCUCUGGGCCGAUAUUGACGCUGAGGAGCGAAAGCGUGGGGAGCGAACAGG
RNAcentral lists this ribosomal RNA (253 nucleotides) under uncultured bacterium. Its description in RNAcentral is "partial 16S ribosomal RNA". It matches the Rfam family "Bacterial small subunit ribosomal RNA", at positions 524 to 776 of the family's 1533-position model. The record is from RNAcentral.